Molecule: long non-coding RNA, 759 nt
Organism: Cynoglossus semilaevis (tongue sole)
Lineage: Eukaryota; Metazoa; Chordata; Actinopteri; Pleuronectiformes; Cynoglossidae
Exons: 3
Source: RefSeq, a predicted model, not a curated record
GCCACUGUGAACGACGUCGUCUUUGACAACUGGUCCAGAAGCAGAAGCAGAAAUUCAGCCCCUCGUUCUGGUCCUCAACACUCGACCAGGGUCAGACACCACCUAGUUGGUUGAAGGAGAACUGCAGGUGACGUUUUUAAAGCUCUCCUCUCUUCGUUGUAAGAGUUACCGCGGUGGGAGGCGGGGCCAGCCGCAGCCGCAGUUCCGGUUCCGGUGUGAGGCUUGAGUCCAAUCAUCACACCUGAGUUUUGUUUGUCCACAAGAUGGAGGAAAAACACGACAGCGUCGUUCGGAGGACUAGCCGGACUUUCCACAGUCUUCGCCGAGGACUCUGCCCAGUCCCGGCUCGGUGUCCUCCAGGCUGCAGGUGGAGGAGGAGUUGUAAACACGAGGAGAGCGACGGAAGGCGUGUUUUAAAGUCUUCCGUCGCGGUUGUGACGGUUGUCACGAGUCAUGCAAGACGACGGUAAUUAACGAGGCAGACACCAGUUCACAGAGAUCCAAACCGACACCUUCGCCUCAUCGUUCCCUGGGACCCAGUUAGCACCUCCUCUUCUGCUCCUCACAACAGGAGGAAUAAAUCAGAGUGACUGAAGUAACGGAGGUCCGUCCUCCCUCCUCACCCCACUGUUACCCCCGCCUGCUGCUGCCCCCUGCCGUCUUCUCCCCCGUCUCCAACAGCAUGGACCUCAAGGACAGUAGACACCGCUCCCUCACCAGCGCCCGCUGCUCCAAAGAGUCCCAGUUCCACACCUCGUC